Long non-coding RNA from Vicia villosa (hairy vetch), 697 nucleotides. RefSeq lists it as uncharacterized. NCBI's taxonomy places the organism in Eukaryota, Viridiplantae, Streptophyta, Magnoliopsida, Fabales, Fabaceae. The transcript has 2 exons. The record is from RefSeq and is a predicted model, not a curated record.
AUAAUAAAAGAUAGAAAUUAAGUUUGACUAUUUCCAUUUUUAUAACAUAUAAAUCAAUCUAAUUUGAGCAUUCAUUUUCAUUAAAAUAAAAAAUUAGUGUUGGCAUUUUAGGUAUAAGGAAACAAGUUAUGAGAGGUUGAAAACACAUAUCAAAAACAAAUGAAUAUAAAUGAAAAUAAGAACAUAACAGAGCACAUAACCCCUCUUUCGUCCGUCUUUUCCUGGGUUUCUCUCAAUUUCACUUUUCUUCUUAAACUCAUAUUCUACCAAUCCCUACUUCAUUGCAAAUAGACAAGCUAGCAUAUACACUCUCUCUUUUGGUGAAAUCAAACACACGAAAGACAUUAAAGCACAUGGUGGAACUAAGACAAUUUAAUCAAUACACAAACUGAGCAUAGAAAUCAGAGCAAGCUUGAUAAUCUCAACAAAACAGAUCGGUGAUUUGAAGAUGAAGGCUCAGAUGCUCAAAAACUUCGUUCGUGGCGGCGCUUCGAUUUCCCCGAAUCCCCCCCUCUCUCUCUAUUCUUCUUCUAUUUCUUUUAUACUUAGGUUUUGGAUUCGAUUUAGGGAAAGAUUAGAUUAGAUUAGGUUAUUAGUUUGAUUACGAAUCUGUUUGUAAUGUUAGUUUGAGAUUGUAAUUGAUUCGCUCCCGGAUUUGCUUGUAACUUCAUCUAAUAAAAUUAUUCAGCUUUGAUUC